AUGUUUGGCAUCUGCUGCCCUCCUAAUGGCCUCUUCUAAGUGUUUGCCAAAGAGGAUAUCCCCUAGAAAGGGUAAGGCACAUAAAUUGUGUUUAGAAGCAAUGUCUGCUCCCCAAGAUCUCAACCAUAGAGAUACCGAAUAUCCCAUAGUCUUAGAAAGAACCUUUAUAAGGUCUGUAGAGGCCUCCGAAAGCCAUUCACUGGCCAAUUUCACCUCUUUCAGGGACUCCGAGAUGUGGUGUUUCUUACACCUCUAUCAAGGUCUUCCGCUAUAUCCAUUAACCAUGCUUUCAUGGCAGAAAUGGC
Non-coding RNA from Pelobates cultripes (western spadefoot toad), 305 nucleotides. Lineage: Eukaryota; Metazoa; Chordata; Amphibia; Anura; Pelobatidae. The record is from the annotation of a GenBank genome assembly.